GUGCCAGCAGCCGCGGUAAUACGGAAGGUGCAAGCGUUGUUCGGAAUGACUGGGCGUAAAGCGCACGUAGGCGGGUUUGUAAGUCGGAUGUGAAAGCCCCAGGCUUAACCUGGGAACAGCACCCGAAACUGCAGAUCUUGAAUGUUUGAGAGGUUGGUGGAAUUCCUGGUGUAGGAGUGAAAUCCGUAGAUAUCAGGAGGAAUAUCGGAGGCGAAGGCGGCCGACUGGCGAAACAUUGACGCUGAGGUGCGAAAGCGUGGGGAGCAAACAGGAUUAGAUACCCUAGUAGUCC
RNAcentral lists this ribosomal RNA (292 nucleotides) under uncultured bacterium. RNAcentral describes it as "partial 16S ribosomal RNA". It matches the Rfam family "Bacterial small subunit ribosomal RNA", at positions 505 to 796 of the family's 1533-position model. The record is from RNAcentral.